This is an RNA transcript of Xiphias gladius (swordfish), 2435 nucleotides long. RefSeq lists it as uncharacterized. NCBI's taxonomy places the organism in Eukaryota, Metazoa, Chordata, Actinopteri, Istiophoriformes, Xiphiidae. The record is from RefSeq and is a predicted model, not a curated record. The transcript is spliced from 2 exons.
UUUUUUUUCUUGUGUUUUGCCCAGCCAUUUUCUGAUUUGUUUGCCUGCCCGGUUCUGUCUGCCUGUGUAGUAACUUUUUUCCAAGUAAAGACUUGGAUUUUUGAGGAACCCUGAACUGUGUCUUGAAUCAUUUGAGUCCUAUUGAUUUGUGGUUACCAGUGUCUGAGUACAAACUGGCCACAAUGGACUCAGACAGCUCUGCUUCUGUGAAAGCUGCUAUCUGGUCUCAAGGCAGACAGAUUCAGCGGCACAAGAAACAACUUACAUCUCUUUGUCAUGGAGUGAGGGGAGCUUAAUGAAUGUCACAAGGGCCUCCAGUCCUCCAUCAGCAGCCAGAUGGGCCAUCUUAACCAUCAGAUGCAACAGUUGAUUGCCUGCUUUGAUUCCCUGGAUUCCAUUGCUCCUACCGCUUUGCCAUCUCCUGGUCCUUGCUUCUGCUAUUGAACCACCACAAGCUCCUGUGUUUGCUCCCCUGUAACCUUCUGUUCCUCAUCUGUCCAGACCAGAGAGGUUUUCUGGUGACACCAAAAACUGCUACGCCUUCCUGGUACAGUGUGGGCUGCACUCUGAAAUGCCGCUGCAUUUCUCCCUGAAUGAGCUAGGGUGGCGUACACCAUUACUCACCUGAGCGGUUGAGCCGAAGCCUGGGCAACGGUAGAAGGGGCCCGAAAUUCCCCCAUGUACUACUCCUUGGUUGUCCUCACUAACACAAUGUAUAAUAUUUUUGAACACACCACCCCAGGUCCAGAGGCAGCACGAGCCAAUAAGGAUUUGCACCAGGGAAAUCAUCAGGUCUCCGACUAAACCAUCUUAUUCCGCACCCUGGCAGUAGACUGUGGCUGGAACACGUCCUCCCUGCUCAGUGGUUUCCAUCAUGGUCUCUCUGACCCCAUAAGAGAUCACCUGAUCUUCUUACAUUGACCCUCAGUUCUUGAUUCAUUCUCUGCCCUUGCCACUAAAAAUGGAUAGAAUGAAAACAGGAGAGGAAUAGACAAGCCAGUCCAGAGGAGACACUCCUCUGGCAGCCGACUUCAUCCUCGAUGCUCACCAUGUCACACACAGACCCCUGCUUCACCAGUACCCUCUGCUGUCCCAGAAGAACCUAUGAAGCUGGGCUGUGCCAGACUCACUCCAGAGGAACGGCAGUGCCUUCAAGAUGGUUGGUGCAUUUACUCCUCCCAGCUGGGACACUUCAAGGAGUCCUGUCCAGUAAAAGACCGGGCUCAGAAGUGAAGAGGACACUGGUAUUUGUGGACUCUGGCACGGAUACAAGUUUUAUGGACUGGAGUUUGGCUAAGAAAUGGGACAGGUAGUUUUCCAUCUGCCCAAGACCCUGGAGACCAACACAUUGGACAGCCAUCUAUAUUGUUAAGUCACUCACUGCACUCAGUCAAAUCCGCACGGCCAAGGGUCAUACGGAACAACUCAGCUUUCACCUCUUCAACUCUCCUCUGCAUCCACUUACUCUGGGACUUCUUGGCUCAAAAGACACAAUCCACCACUGGUGAGGUAAUGGGUUGGGGGGAGGGCUGUACACUAAUCUUUUUUACUCCCGUGUGUUCCCAGAAGCCUCCCCAUCCCUCGGAUCAGUCGCUGAAAGCUCCUGAUCCUCCUGUUUCCAAGUCACUCCCUGAGCCUCCGGACUUCGAUUUCCCUCACCUCUGCAAGGUCCCAACCUGUUAUCAUGAUCUGAGGUUUUCAGCAAGCCUCAUGCGAACCCCCUACUCCCACACCAUGAGUAUGAUUGUGCACCUCUGCCUCUACCCUUUGUCAGAUCCAGAAGGAUGGAUCCCUGCUAAUCUCAGCAAUGGAAACUGGGAUUAUCCAUCCAUCCUCCUCACCCAUUGUAGCUGGAUUUUUCUUUGUAGACAAAGGACAAAUCACACCACCCCUGCUUCGACUACCACAGCCUCAACGAUAUCACCAUCAAAAACAGGUACCCCCUCCUGCUUUUUAACUGUUACAAGGCGCUAAAAAUAUUCUGCAAAAUAGACCUUAGAAAUACGUAUCACUUGGUGAUGAUCAGGGCAAUGAAUUUAAGACAGCUUUUAAUAAUACCAGGUGGCCAUUACAAGUAUCUUCUGAUGCCGUUUGGACUAACUAAUUUUUGUUUACCUGGAUGAUACCCCCAUCUUCUCUCUGUAUGAGCAAACCCACAUACAGCAUGUCCGACAAGUCCUGCAAUGCCUUCUAGAUCACCAGCUCUUCAUCAAAGCUGAAAAGUGUAUCAUCAGUUUCGUUCCUGGGCUUCAUUACCUUUCAGAACUGCAUCUAAAUGGACCAUCCUAAGGUCUGUGCUGUGGCCAAUUGGAUGACCCCCACUAGAAGAAAGAAGCCCCAAUGUUUAAAUUUUUCAAUUCAGUUAAAUUUUAUUUAUAUAGCGCAAAAUAAUAACAGAAGUUAUCUCAGGGCACUUUUCAUAUAGAGCAGGUCUA